Molecule: long non-coding RNA, 231 nt
Filed under: Elaeis guineensis (African oil palm)
Lineage: Eukaryota; Viridiplantae; Streptophyta; Magnoliopsida; Arecales; Arecaceae
Description: long non-coding RNA (EGUI_LNC046289)
Source: RNAcentral
CCUCCUUUUAAAACAAUGUCAAACAUCUUAUCCACGUGAGAGGAUAAAGAUGAGUAAUUGUACAUUUGAAUUCAAAUCAAAUUUUGAAUUCAAAUGGAAAUCAAUUUAUCCCUAUCCACUAAGAGCAUGAGAAGAGGAGGGUGUGGCUUAAUUUGUGCAUGAGUGAUUUCAUGAGAAACAUUUUCUCGUGUAAUAAAUGGGGCACUAAAAGAGGAUAAGGUCAAGAUGCUA